Molecule: ribosomal RNA, 496 nt
Filed under: uncultured bacterium
Lineage: Bacteria
Description: partial 16S ribosomal RNA
Rfam family: Bacterial small subunit ribosomal RNA
Source: RNAcentral
GAUGAACGCUGGCGGCGUGCCUAAUACAUGCAAGUCGAGCGAACAGAUGAGGAGCUUGCUCCUCUGACGUUAGCGGCGGACGGGUGAGUAACACGUGGAUAACCUACCUAUAAGACUGGGAUAACUUCGGGAAACCGGAGCUAAUACCGGAUAAUAUAUUGAACCGCAUGGUUCAAUAGUGAAAGACGGUUUUGCUGUCACUUAUAGAUGGAUCCGCGCCGCAUUAGCUGGUUGGUACGGUACCGGCUUCCAAGGGAAAGAUGGGUUGACGACCUGAGCGGGUGAUCGGCCACACUGGAGCUGGGACGGGGUCCAGACUCCUACGGGAGGCAGCAGUAGGGAAUCUGCCGCAAUGGGCGGAAGCCUGACGGAGCAACGCCGCGUGUGUGAUGAAGGUCUUCGGAUCGUAAAACUCUGUUAUUAGGGAAGAACAAAUGUGUAAGUAACUAUGCACGUCUUGACGGUACCUAAUCAGAAAGCCACGGCUAACUACGUG